UACGGAGGGAGCUAGCGUUGUUCGGAAUUACUGGGCGUAAAGCGCGCGUAGGCGGCUUUGUAAGUUAGAGGUGAAAGCCCGGGGCUCAACUCCGGAACUGCCUUUAAGACUGCAUCGCUUGAAUCCGGGAGAGGUGAGUGGAAUUCCGAGUGUAGAGGUGAAAUUCGUAGAUAUUCGGAAGGACACCAGUGGCGAAGGCGGCUCCCUGGACCGGUAUUGACGCUGAGGUGCGAAAGCGUGGGGAGCAAACAGG
RNAcentral lists this ribosomal RNA (253 nucleotides) under uncultured bacterium. Its description in RNAcentral is "partial 16S ribosomal RNA". It matches the Rfam family "Bacterial small subunit ribosomal RNA", at positions 524 to 776 of the family's 1533-position model. The record is from RNAcentral.